This 449-nucleotide ribosomal RNA is filed under the name uncultured bacterium. Its description in RNAcentral is "partial 16S ribosomal RNA". It matches the Rfam family "Bacterial small subunit ribosomal RNA", at positions 29 to 523 of the family's 1533-position model. The record is from RNAcentral.
AAUGAACGCUGGCGGCAUGCCUAACACAUGCAAGUCGAACGAGACCUUCGGGUCUAGUGGCGCACGGGUGCGUAACGCGUGGGAAUCUGCCCUUGGGUUCGGAAUAACUCGCCGAAAGGCGUGCUAAUACCGGAUGAUGACGUAAGUCCAAAGAUUUAUCGCCCAAGGAUGAGCCCGCGUAGGAUUAGCUAGUUGGUGGGGUAAAGGCCCACCAAGGCGACGAUCCUUAGCUGGUCUGAGAGGAUGAUCAGCCACACUGGGACUGAGACACGGCACAGACUCCUACGGGAGGCAGCAGUGGGGAAUAUUGGACAAUGGGCGAAAGCCUGAUCCAGCAAUGCCGCGUGAGUGAUGAAGGCCUUAGGGUUGUAAAGCUCUUUUACCCGGGAUGAUAAUGACAGUACCGGGAGAAUAAGCCCCGGCUAACUCCGUGCCAGCCGCCGCGGUAA